GACGAACGCUGGCGGCGUGCCUAACACAUGCAAGUCGAGCGGAGAUAUAUAGAAGGUUUACCGGAAAUAUAUCUUAGCGGCGGACGGGUGAGUAACGCGUGGGCAACCUGCCUCAUACAGGGGGAUAACACAGGGAAACUUGUGCUAAUACCGCAUGAUAUCAUUGUAUGGCAUCAUACGAUGAUCAAAGGAGCAAUCCGGUAUGAGAUGGGCCCGCGUCCGAUUAGCUAGUUGGUGAGGUAACGGCUCACCAAGGCGACGAUCGGUAGCCGAACUGAGAGGUUGAUCGGCCACAUUGGGACUGAGACACGGCCCAGACUCCUACGGGAGGCAGCAGUGGGGAAUAUUGCGCAAUGGGGGAAACCCUGACGCAGCAACGCCGCGUGAAGGAAGAAGGCCUCGGGUUGUAAACGUUCUUUGUAUUGGGGUACGAAGGAAAGUAGAACUGUACCCAAAAACAAGACCACGGCUAACUACGUGCCAGCAGCCGCGGUAAAGUC
Molecule: ribosomal RNA, 500 nt
Filed under: uncultured bacterium
Lineage: Bacteria
Description: bacterial SSU rRNA
Rfam family: Bacterial small subunit ribosomal RNA
Source: RNAcentral